CAACUCUGGUUUCUCUUCAUUACGCACAAGCCUUUCGCCUUUUACUAAAGACUUCCGUGGAGAGGAAUAGUUACACGAGUUCAACAUAUUUUUGCUCGGCCUUUUGGCUCAG
Molecule: small nuclear RNA, 112 nt
Organism: Oncorhynchus masou masou (cherry salmon)
Lineage: Eukaryota; Metazoa; Chordata; Actinopteri; Salmoniformes; Salmonidae
Product: U5 spliceosomal RNA
Exons: 1
Source: RefSeq, a predicted model, not a curated record